AAUCAGCGUUUAGACAUAAAUCUAUUUUUUCGUACGAUCAUAAUAUUUCAGUUUGCGUUUACGUUUUGAUUUCAAUCAUAACUGCAAACUGCCUUUAUAUCCUUGCUUAAACUGCAUCUCAACUAAUCAAGUGAUUUACGAAUCAGCAUUUAGACGUAAAUCAGCUUCUUCGUACGAACGUCGUAUUUCAGUUUGCACUUAUAUU
Molecule: long non-coding RNA, 205 nt
Filed under: Musa acuminata (dwarf banana)
Lineage: Eukaryota; Viridiplantae; Streptophyta; Magnoliopsida; Zingiberales; Musaceae
Description: long non-coding RNA (MACU_LNC011323)
Source: RNAcentral